Molecule: RNase P RNA, 365 nt
Filed under: Lactobacillus panisapium
Lineage: Bacteria; Bacillati; Bacillota; Bacilli; Lactobacillales; Lactobacillaceae
Description: Bacterial RNase P class B
Rfam family: Bacterial RNase P class B
About the family: Ribonuclease P (RNase P) is a ubiquitous endoribonuclease, found in archaea, bacteria and eukarya as well as chloroplasts and mitochondria. Its best characterised activity is the generation of mature 5'-ends of tRNAs by cleaving the 5'-leader elements of precursor-tRNAs.
Source: RNAcentral
UUUGAGCAGUCGCGGUUUGGUCUAUUAUUGACUGAGCUGAGGAAAGUCCACGCACGCACAGGCUGCGAAGCUUGUAGUGUUCGUAUUUAGCCCAAUAAGCUAAAGAAUUGGUUACAAUUACGGCGAAAAAAGUGCUAAGUCAUUUUUGAUAUGCAUGAUUAUUCUGAAAAGUGCCACAGUGACGAAGCUUGAGCGGAAACGCUCUUGGUGGAACGAGGUAAACCCUGCGAGCGUGCAACCCAAAUUGGGUGGGGGCGUCUCAACCUAGGGAAUUGAACUAAAGGUUGGAUUGCUAUUAAUAGCAAAGAUAGAUGGCUGCUAAAGGUAAUUUGGCCAAAAUUACUGGAACAGAACGUGGCUUAUAA